Myotis myotis is the source of this 704-nucleotide long non-coding RNA. RefSeq lists it as uncharacterized. The record is from RefSeq and is a predicted model, not a curated record. NCBI's taxonomy places the organism in Eukaryota, Metazoa, Chordata, Mammalia, Chiroptera, Vespertilionidae. The transcript has 3 exons.
UCUAAGCAUCCGAUAUUUCCCCAGUGAACGUCUCCUGCCUGAUGAAAGGAGGACUCACGUCACUCCGUGAGACAAGCCCCGAUUGACUGCUCUGCUGUGUGAGCCUGAACCAAUUGUGGCCACCUGUCUGUGUCCGUCUUUUGGUGUGCAUCGCCGGGUGGCCUUUGCUGGAGCCUAGGACCCACUAGGAAUAGUGCCAGUGGAAUCUGAGACUAGUACCAGGAGGAGAAGUCAUCUGCUCUUGCUGGGACACAGAAGCACCAUAAAAUUACUGCUCCCCACACAGCAACAGUACGCAGGACCAACAUCCAACAGGUCACCUCCCAGAUGAUCUAUGCAACUCUACCCGCAAGGCUGAAAACACCACCUACCCCUGGUGCCCCCUGCAGGAACAUUCUAUGCAUAUGGGGCCACUGCUUACCUCUGCCUGCCUGAAACCAGAAGAACUCCCUACAAACCCCUCUGAGAGGAAGAAGUGGGAUGCUAACCCCUUGAUCAUUGUCCCUUUCUAGCAGGAAGUAGCUAAGAGCACUUAUCUCACACUAAUCAUACCACAAAUAACCUUUACAAGGUCCAACUGGCACAUAUGGAAGAGAUAGAGGAUUCCUGGUGUGUACACCUGUUCAACUUUACCCAGUCUUUGAUCUUAUUCACUCCCCCAAAGAUCAUUUACUUCCCCCAAUAAAGCUUUUGUAGUCCACUGA